UCCUAUGAGAUGGCUGUUGAUUACCUUCACAGUAUUUUGCCAUUGUUGCCUCUAUUGAGUGUCUUGCCAUUCUGGUCGUUGGUAUGGUUCAAAGGCUUUCCCUCUGGAUUGGACAAUGGAUUGCUUUCUCCCUUGUCAGUCUUCAUGGCACCAUCAGAUACUAUGAGUGCUAAUCUUCAGGGAGAAAGCUUCCAGUUACUAUAAAGUAUGACUCUACUCAGGAAGAUACCACAUGAAGCAUGAAGAUGUAGAGGAAUAAAUCUUAAGCCAAUUGGAGAAGAAAAGACAUUAAAGGAGUGACACAACAUGGAACCCUACAUGCUGCUGUAAUGACCUGCAAGGCAAGAUGUGCCAAGAUCAGCUAUCACUUCCUGGAAUUAAAGACCUAUGUGCUUCCAAAGCAAAGGCAGGAGAUCUCAAGUGCUGGGAUUAAAGGUGUGUGAUUGAAAAGUACUUGGAUUAAAGG
Molecule: long non-coding RNA, 466 nt
Organism: Peromyscus eremicus (cactus mouse)
Lineage: Eukaryota; Metazoa; Chordata; Mammalia; Rodentia; Cricetidae
Exons: 3
Source: RefSeq, a predicted model, not a curated record